AUCUUGUUGUAUUUCAUAAGCGAGAUGAUUGGGGGUUUAUGUGCAUGCAUGAGAUGUGCCUCAGACAAAUCUUGUUACGACGUCGGCACAUUACCCAUCCGACA
This is a small nucleolar RNA of Otolemur garnettii (small-eared galago), 104 nucleotides long. Lineage: Eukaryota; Metazoa; Chordata; Mammalia; Primates; Galagidae. The record is from Ensembl.